This 482-nucleotide ribosomal RNA is filed under the name uncultured bacterium. Its description in RNAcentral is "bacterial SSU rRNA". It matches the Rfam family "Bacterial small subunit ribosomal RNA", at positions 30 to 506 of the family's 1533-position model. The record is from RNAcentral.
UUGAACGCUGGCGGCAUGCCUUACACAUGCAAGUCGAACGGCAGCACGGGAGCAAUCCUGGUGGCGAGUGGCGAACGGGUGAGUAAUGUAUCGGAACGUGCCCAGUCGUGGGGGAUAACGCAGCGAAAGCUGUGCUAAUACCGCAUACGAUCUACGGAUGAAAGCGGGGGAUCGCAAGACCUCGCGCGAUUGGAGCGGCCGAUAUCAGAUUAGCUAGUUGGUGGGGUAAAAGCCCACCAAGGCGACGAUCUGUAGCUGGUCUGCGAGGACGACCAGCCACACUGGAACUGAGACACGGUCCAGACUCCUACGGGAGGCAGCAGUGGGGAAUUUUGGACAAUGGACGCAAGCCUGAUCCAGCAAUGCCGCGUGCAGGAUGAAGGCCUUCGGGUUGUAAAGCUCUUUCAGCAGGAGCGAAACGGUCGUUUUUAAUACAGACGGCUAAUGACGGUACCUGCAGAAGAAGCACCGGCUAACUACGU